ACGUCGUUAUUCUCAAGGUUGCUUCUAUGGAUAACAUAUAGAUAUCCAUUGUCUAGGCCUACUAUUCAACCAUUUAUGAAAUGACUACAGAAGAGGUAUCAUCACUGAUGACCAAGCUGAUUGGCUUUAGUGCAAGUGGGAGAUUGUUGGAAAUGUGCCCUAAAACCAAUCAUAUGAUGAUACUUUACGGACAUUUCACA
Molecule: long non-coding RNA, 200 nt
Filed under: Malus domestica (apple)
Lineage: Eukaryota; Viridiplantae; Streptophyta; Magnoliopsida; Rosales; Rosaceae
Description: long non-coding RNA (MDOM_LNC000145)
Source: RNAcentral